UANAUUAUACNGUGACACUGCNUGNGGCUCAUUAUAUCUUUUAUUUUAUUUUUUAUGGUUCCNUAUUANCUGGAUGACCGUGCUUGUUCUUCAGCUAAUACNUGCAUGCAAUCCCCACUGCCGGGGGGAGGANUGGUUUUUAUUAUAGCACGCCCUUCAGGGCACCCUGCUGAAUACCGAGGAAAGGGCGAAUUUAUUAGGCACGUGCCNGGCACGAGGCAUUCCAAACCAAUAUAUAUAUAUAUUGGGCCCCAACGUCCUGUCCGGUGAUGCANAAUAACUUGAACGGGGAAUNUACGGUAACUUAUAUUUGUUAUUAUAAUCUUCGGAUUUUAAUAGCAAAUAUAAGUCGGCGACGAUUCAUUCGAAUUUCUGCCCCAUCAACUCUCGAUGGUAGGAUAGAGGCCUACCAUGGUCGCAACGGGUAACGGGGNAUNCNGGAUUCCUGCCUCAGGCUUUCGCCNAUUUNGCAGNAUUCCCUGCCCGCAANGAC
This 493-nucleotide ribosomal RNA is filed under the name uncultured fungus. RNAcentral's name for it is "partial 18S ribosomal RNA". It matches the Rfam family "Eukaryotic small subunit ribosomal RNA", at positions 70 to 374 of the family's 1831-position model. Lineage: Eukaryota; Fungi. The record is from RNAcentral.